Molecule: unclassified non-coding RNA, 299 nt
Organism: Callithrix jacchus (white-tufted-ear marmoset)
Lineage: Eukaryota; Metazoa; Chordata; Mammalia; Primates; Cebidae
Rfam family: Metazoan signal recognition particle RNA
About the family: The signal recognition particle (SRP) is a universally conserved ribonucleoprotein. It is involved in the co-translational targeting of proteins to membranes.
Source: Ensembl
GCCAGGCACGGUGGUACAUGCCUGUAGUCCCAGCUACUCAGGAGGUUGAGGUGGGAGGAUUGCUUGAGCCCAGGAGUUCUGGGCUGUAGUGUGCUAUGCCAAUUGGUGUCCACACUAAGUUCAGCAUCAAUAUGGUGACCUCCCAGGAGUGGGGGACCACCAGCUUGCCUAAGGAGGGGUAAACCAGCCCAGGUCAGAAACGGAGCAGGUCAAAACUCCCGUGCUGAUCAGUAGUGGGAUCACGCCUGUGAAUAGCCACUGUAUGCCAGCCUGGGCAACAUAUCAAGACCCUGUCUCAA